CUAUCCUUCCUCAUAAUGCUCACGGCCUGGGCCAUUUGGAGGCAUCAGAAGUGAUGCAUCUUCGAUGACCAACAACCAUCAGUCUCUCGGCUCAUCUACGAGAUCAAGGAUGAGGCGCGGUUAUGGGCCAAAACCGGCACCACGUCAAUGACUAACCUACUUCUCGAGAUGUAG
This 174-nucleotide ribosomal RNA is filed under the name Triticum aestivum (bread wheat). RNAcentral describes it as "partial small subunit ribosomal RNA". Lineage: Eukaryota; Viridiplantae; Streptophyta; Magnoliopsida; Poales; Poaceae. The record is from RNAcentral.